UACAGAGGUCCCAAGCGUUGUUCGGAUUCACUGGGCGUAAAGGGUGCGUAGGUGGUGGGGUAAGUCUGAUGUGAAAUCUCCGAGCUCAACUCGGAAAUGGCAUUGGAAACUACCUUGCUCGAGGGUUGGAGGGGGGACUGGAAUACUUGGUGUAGCAGUGAAAUGCGUAGAUAUCGGGAGGAACACCAGUGGCGAAAGCGGCCGGCUGGGCCUGUCCUGACGCUGAGACGCGAAAGCGUGGGGAGCGAACCGG
Molecule: ribosomal RNA, 253 nt
Filed under: uncultured bacterium
Lineage: Bacteria
Description: partial 16S ribosomal RNA
Rfam family: Bacterial small subunit ribosomal RNA
Source: RNAcentral